RNAcentral lists this ribosomal RNA (497 nucleotides) under uncultured bacterium. RNAcentral describes it as "partial 16S ribosomal RNA". It matches the Rfam family "Bacterial small subunit ribosomal RNA", at positions 28 to 507 of the family's 1533-position model. The record is from RNAcentral.
GAUGAACGCUGGCGGCGUGCCUAAUACAUGCAAGUCGAGCGAACAGACGAGGAGCUUGCUCCUCUGACGUUAGCGGCGGACGGGUGAGUAACACGUGGAUAACCUACCUAUAAGACUGGGAUAACUUCGGGAAACCGGAGCUAAUACCGGAUAAUAUAUUGAACCGCAUGGUUCAAUAGUGAAAGACGGCUUUUCUGUCACUUAUAGAUGGAUCCGCGCCGCAUUAGCUAGUUGGUAAGGUAACGGCUUACCAAGGCGACGAUGCGUAGCCGACCUGAGAGGGGGAUAGGCCACACUGGAACUGGGACACGGUCCAGACUCCUACGGGAGGCAGCAGUAGGGAAUCUUCCGCAAUGGGCGAAAGCCUGACGGAGCAACGCCGCGUGAGUGAUGAAGGUCUUCGGAUCGUAAAACUCUGUUAUUAGGGAAGAACAAAUGUGUAAGUAACUAUGCACGUCUUGACGGUACCUAAUCAGAAAGCCACGGCUAACUACGUG